Long non-coding RNA from Saimiri boliviensis boliviensis (Bolivian squirrel monkey), 2282 nucleotides. RefSeq lists it as uncharacterized. Lineage: Eukaryota; Metazoa; Chordata; Mammalia; Primates; Cebidae. The record is from RefSeq and is a predicted model, not a curated record.
GCACGGGCUGCUCCCUGGCUACCCCGGGGGAGGAGUGGGAGGAGUGGCGAGGGCUAUCAGCUCUGGCGGGCGAACCUUUCCCAGGAGGCGCUGCUUGCUCCAGCGAGGUAAAGCCGGAGGAGGCGGGAGAGCGGGGCUGGUGACGCGCGCCGGCCGCGGAGAAUGAGGCUGGCCCUCUGCGCCCUGCCGUGCGCUGGAGCCCUGGCAACAUUUUGGAAAAGAGAAGUCAUCUGAAUUUCAAUUUUGGCUCUCCUCACGGGACAGAUCUGCUGUUUACUGAUGCUGCCCAUGGGUUUUUAAAGGCCCCACCUAAGACGAAUGCCAAGCUGUACCUGGGAUAUGUGUAUUUUUCUGCAACUCAGCAUCUAAAAAGAGGUUUCCCCCAGGAAGCCAUGGGCAUGCCCAUCCUUUAUGCUGGGCUUCUGGAAGACUCUCCUCUGGAGCUCUACCUGCUACAAAUCUUCAGACUCUGUUAUCCAAAGCCCAGAGACUGCUGGCUAUUAUGGGCUUGUGGUCCUACCACCCAUUUUUUAUACCAGGAGAGUCAGCCUUGCAAUCCUAAGACCUGAAGCAGGAGCCUGAAGACCCAGGGGUCUAACAGGGGUCUUUCAAUGGCACUGGGAGAGAGAUGUCAAGAACCUCACUUCUGCUUUGUUCCAAUUCUAAGAACUUGAAAAGAAAGCCAGAGCAGAUAAUUAAUGUUUAACAUUUUAAUAUAUUUGAGAUACUAAUGGAUCCCUUCGAGGAUUCAUAAAAGGCAGGAACUCUUAUUUUAGUAACACGCAUACAAGUGUGCACCCACACACACCUUUAUAUACAAUUUUUGUGCAUUCAUAGCUUCAGUUUAGUGAUUCUUCUGUGACCUCACACUGCCUUCCAUAGGUUGCAGAAGUGUAGGGAUGUAGGUUUGUUGAUCCGAUUUUAAGUAGAUGAUAUCCUAGGUGGUUGGUAAGUCUUACUAAAUUAUACACGUAGACACGCUACAUACAUGUAUUUAAAAGUCUUAUCUUUGGGGAAUAUUUAAAACAACUAAAAUGGUAAAAUCAUUCCAUUGUAGAAACCAACAGUUGCCAGCAAUUAUUUGCAAAUCUGUGCAGGUCCGAGAUUUACUCUGGACAGCCGAGAAACCUGGUGAACUUUGAUCUUCUUUUGCCAUGGAGACUGAGGACAUUAAACAAGGGAGUUUACUCUGGGGGCAGUAGAAAGAUCCGUGAUCAGUUUACUUUGGCUCCAGGAGCACUGGACUCUGCUCAGCUGAACCAGCCACCUCUCACGGGCCCAUCUAAAGGUCUUGAGACAUGACCUGUCUUGGUGAAAGAGCAAUGGGAAGUACAAUCCCUAAAUAAUGUUGGAAGAAAUUGUGAAUAACACUUUUCAAGAAAGUAUGCCACAGGACAGUGGGGACAGCUCAGGCGAUUGAGUCCACAGUCCUAGCUUCUAGCUUUCCAUCUUGCUGGACAGCCUACCAGUUAUAGUCUGUCUUCCAGCUAAGCUCAGUUUUUGUCUCUGUAAAAUCAGAUCUCUCUACUAAACGGUCUUUCAGGGUGUGUUUUGCCAAAGGGCCCAGUAGCAAUGGAGGGAGACAUAAAGCAAUCAGAGCCAUUGCAUUAGUUCACUGAGUGUCUAUUUGGUAUGUAGCCCAUGUUGGGUGUUCUGUAAUAAUGAUAGUUGUCAUCACCAUCUAUUGAUGUCAUUACCAUCUAUUGGUCAGACAGGGCAAGUACUCUAACAGAAAUGUGAGUAAUCUUCAGAAUGAUAAGGUAGACAUUUGCACUCCUAUUACUAAUGAGAAACAGAAGCUCAUUUGUACUCCUAUUACUAACGAGAAACAGAAGCUCAGAGUAGAUCAGUAACUUGUCCAGUAUGAUGCAGCUAUUAAGUGGUCUAACAUCCAAACCCAGAAGUCUUUGACUCCAAUGCCAAGCCCAUUUUAUUGUUCCACAGAUUGCACAUGACAAUAUGUAGUGAAUGAAUACACAGGUGAUUAUUAAUAGAAGGCGGGCACAAGGAACUGGCAUACAAAGAAAAAGUGCUGCUCUGUUCUCUGUGAUAGAUUGCCUAGGGCUUAGUGGUCAGCAUCCUUGCAGGGUCCUUGAUGUAGUGAGACCUGAGGGGCUGAACGCAGGAGCUGUUGGUCAGCAUAUAAAUAAAAAUUAGAUGAAAAAUGCUAAGGUGCUGGAUACUGUACUAGGUGAUUUGCAGUAAUUACUAAUUUAGAUCUCACAGUAACUCUAUGAGGCAGGUGUGUUUUGCCAAAGGGGAACUGGGGCACUGAAAGCUUA